This 1301-nucleotide ribosomal RNA is filed under the name metagenome. Its description in RNAcentral is "bacterial LSU rRNA". It matches the Rfam family "Bacterial large subunit ribosomal RNA", at positions 1632 to 2925 of the family's 2925-position model. The record is from RNAcentral.
UUUUACACGACCGUACCGCAAACCGACACUGGUGCGCGAGAUGAGUAUUCUAAGGCGCUUGAGAGAACUCAGGAGAAGGAACUCGGCAAAUUGACACCGUAACUUCGGAAGAAGGUGUGCCUUUAGUAGGUGAACCUGUACAAGGGGAGCCCAAUGAGGUUGCAAAAAAUCGGUGGCUGCGACUGUUUAAUAAAAACACAGCACUCUGCAAACACGAAAGUGGACGUAUAGGGUGUGACGCCUGCCCGGUGCUGGAAGAUUAAAUGAUGGGGUGCAAGCUCUUGAUUGAAGUCCCAGUAAACGGCGGCCGUAACAAUAACGGUCCUAAGGUAGCGAAAUUCCUUGUCGGGUAAGUUCCGACCUGCACGAAUGGCGUAACGAUGGCCACACUGUCUCCUCCUGAGACUCAGCGAAGUUGAAAUGUUUGUGAUGAUGCAAUCUCCCCGCGGAAAGACGGAAAGACCCCAUGAACCUUUACUGUAGCUUUGUAUUGGACUUUGAACAGAUCUGUGUAGGAUAGGUGGGAGGCUUUGAAGUGUGGUCGCUAGAUCGCAUGGAGCCAACGUUGAAAUACCACCCUGGUGUGUUUGAGGUUCUAACCUAGGCCCGUAAUCCGGGUCGGGGACAGUGCAUGGUAGGCAGUUUGACUGGGGCGGUCUCCUCCCAAAGCGUAACGGAGGAGUUCGAAGGUACGCUAGGUACGGUCGGACAUCGUGCUAAUAGUGCAAUGGCAUAAGCGUGCUUAACUGCGAGACUGACAAGUCGAGCAGAUGCGAAAGCAGGACAUAGUGAUCCGGUGGUUCUGUAUGGAAGGGCCAUCGCUCAACGGAUAAAAGGUACUCUGGGGAUAACAGGCUGAUACCGCCCAAGAGUUCAUAUCGACGGCGGUGUUUGGCACCUCGAUGUCGGCUCAUCUCAUCCUGGGGCUGUAGCCGGUCCCAAGGGUAUGGCUGUUCGCCAUUUAAAGAGGUACGUGAGCUGGGUUUAAAACGUCGUGAGACAGUUUGGUCCCUAUCUUCCGUGGGCGCUGCAGAUUUGAGGAAGCCUGCUCCUAGUACGAGAGGACCGGAGUGGACACACCUCUGGUGUAUCGGUUGUCACGCCAGUGGCAUUGCCGAGUAGCUAUGUGUGGAAGAGAUAACCGCUGAAAGCAUCUAAGCGGGAAACUCGUUUCAAGAUGAGAUCUGCCGGGGCCUUGAGCCCCCUAAAGAGUCGUUCAAGACCAGGACGUUGAUAGGUCGGGUGUGGAAGCGCAGUAAUGCGUUAAGCUAACCGAUACUAAUUGCUCGUGCGGCUUGACC